This 462-nucleotide ribosomal RNA is filed under the name uncultured bacterium. Its description in RNAcentral is "partial 16S ribosomal RNA". It matches the Rfam family "Bacterial small subunit ribosomal RNA", at positions 28 to 507 of the family's 1533-position model. The record is from RNAcentral.
GACGAACGCUGGCGGCGUGCUUAACACAUGCAAGUCGAACGGAAAGGCCCUUCGGGGUCCUCGAGUGGCGAACGGGUGAGUAACACGUGGGUGAUCUGCCCUGCACUUUGGGAUAAGCCUGGGAAACUGGGUCUAAUACCGAAUAGGACCACGCGCUUCAUGGUGUGUGGUGGAAAGCUUUUGCGGUGUGGGAUGGGCCCGCGGCCUAUCAGCUUGUUGGUGGGGUAAUGGCCUACCAAGGCGACGACGGGUAGCCGGCCUGAGAGGGUGACCGGCCACACUGGGACUGAGAUACGGCCCAGACUCCUACGGGAGGCAGCAGUGGGGAAUAUUGCACAAUGGGCGCAAGCCUGAUGCAGCGACGCCGCGUGCGGGAUGACGGCCUUCGGGUUGUAAACCUCUUUCAAUAGGGACGAAGCGCAAGUGACGGUACCUAUAGAAGAAGCACCGGCCAACUACGUG